RNAcentral lists this ribosomal RNA (262 nucleotides) under uncultured bacterium. Its description in RNAcentral is "partial 16S ribosomal RNA". It matches the Rfam family "Bacterial small subunit ribosomal RNA", at positions 92 to 354 of the family's 1533-position model. The record is from RNAcentral.
UUAGGGGCGGACGGGUGAGUAACGCGUGGAAAACCUGCCGUAUACUGGGGGAUAACACUUAGAAAUAGGUGCUAAUACCGCAUAAGCGCACAGCUUCGCAUGAAGCGGUGUGAAAAACCCUGGUGGUAUACGAUGGUUCCGCGUCUGAUUAGCUAGUUGGUGGGGUAAUGGCCUACCAAGGCAACGAUCAGUAGCCGGCCUGAGAGGGUGAACGGCCACAUUGGGACUGAGACACGGCCCAAACUCCUACGGAAGGCAGCAG